This 251-nucleotide ribosomal RNA is filed under the name uncultured Halomonas sp. HD-2000/17. Its description in RNAcentral is "partial 16S ribosomal RNA". It matches the Rfam family "Bacterial small subunit ribosomal RNA", at positions 75 to 327 of the family's 1533-position model. Lineage: Bacteria; Pseudomonadati; Pseudomonadota; Gammaproteobacteria; Oceanospirillales; Halomonadaceae. The record is from RNAcentral.
CCAGCUUGCUGGAUGCUGACGAGCGGCGGACGGGUGAGUAAUGCAUAGGAAUCUGCCCGAUAGUGGGGGAUAACCUGGGGAAACCCAGGCUAAUACCGCAUACGUCCUACGGGAGAAAGCAGGGGAUCUUCNGACCUUGCGCUAUCGGAUGAGCCUAUGUCGGAUUAGCUUGUUGGNGAGGUAAUGGCUCACCAAGGCGACNAUCCGUAGCUGGUCUGAGAGGAUGAUCANCCACACUGGGACUGAGACAC